This is a non-coding RNA of Bubalus bubalis (water buffalo), 497 nucleotides long. Lineage: Eukaryota; Metazoa; Chordata; Mammalia; Artiodactyla; Bovidae. The record is from the annotation of a RefSeq genome assembly.
UAUGCGCUGCCAGGCACUCAAAGACACUGAACUCUCAUCUUGAGGCAGAAACUAAGCACAUUUGUGCAGGGAAAUCCAUGCCUCAUGCCGCACUCCAGCCUGCUCUGGGUGUUCCUGGCCUUCACCUUCUCUGGAUCUGGUGUGGCACAGAAAGUUAUUCAAGACCAGCCAGACACAUCCAGUCAACUGGGACAGUCAGUCACCCUGAACUGUCGGUAUGCAACAGCCUGGAGCUACAUGUUUUGGUACAAGCUGCUUCCCAAUGGAGAGAUGAUUUACCUUAUUGGUCAGGUUUUACUGGCCAGAAUGCAAGGAAUGGCCGCUACUCUGUAAACUUACAGAAAGCUAGUAAAUCCAUCAGCCUCACCAUUUCAGACUUACAACUGGAAGAUUCUGCAGAGUAUUUCUGUGCUCUCUGGGAGCUCACAGUGUUUGAAGUAAUGGGAAUAGCUAAACAAAAACCCCAGAGUUUAAUAAAAGAGAGCUUCCCUGCUGCA